This 483-nucleotide ribosomal RNA is filed under the name uncultured bacterium. RNAcentral describes it as "partial 16S ribosomal RNA". It matches the Rfam family "Bacterial small subunit ribosomal RNA", at positions 30 to 507 of the family's 1533-position model. The record is from RNAcentral.
UUGAACGCUGGCGGCAGGCCCAACACAUGCAAGUCGAGCGGAUGAAGGGAGCUUGCUCCUGGAUUCAGCGGCGGACGGGUGAGUAAUGCCUAGGAAUCUGCCUGGUAGUGGGGGAUAACGUCCGGAAACGGGCGCUAAUACCGCAUACGUCCUGAGGGAGAAAGUGGGGGAUCUUCGGACCUCACGCUAUCAGAUGAGCCUAGGUCGGAUUAGCUAGUUGGUGGGGUAAAGGCCUACCAAGGCGACGAUCCGUAACUGGUCUGAGAGGAUGAUCAGUCACACUGGAACUGAGACACGGUCCAGACCCCUACGGGAGGCAGCAGUGGGGAAUAUUGGACAAUGGGCGAAAGCCUGAUCCAGCCAUGCCGCGUGUGUGAAGAAGGUCUUCGGAUUGUAAAGCACUUUAAGUUGGGAGGAAGGGCAGUAAGUUAAUACCUUGCUGUUUUGACGUUACCAACAGAAUAAGCACCGGCUAACUUCGUG